GGAAACGGACAGAGCUGGCGUAUCUGGUCUGCAUUCAUCCGUGUGUUCUUGGACGUUUGGAUUGCCACUCUCCAGACUGGGAUGGUGUUCAUUCUGUUCAGGGGCUCAUGGAGCAUUUGCAGGCGGAGUGCGCUGAGAUGCUCGGRGCAGCUGCAUGAGCUUGGCUUUGAGGCCAGCCCUUCGGGGUCUGGUACCCGGGCUGUGGGAGUGCUGUUUGUUCUGGGUGCUGAGUGUGUGCAAUGGCAACGGGUCCGUGUUGGUUUGAGCUGGCGGUCGGUGGCGGUCGCGUGCGACACGUGCCAGCAGUCAGUUCGGUCCUGCUCGGGCUCUCAUUGCAUGUUCUCGGUGUAAAAGCCGGUCAUCUGUCCGACCCGUCUUGAAACACGGACCAAGGAGUUUAGCGUGUGCGCGAGUCAUUGGGAGUUGAAAACCCAAGGGCGUAAUGAAAGUGAAGGUCUCCUUGCGGAGCUGAUGUGUGAUCUCGUGCACUCCGGUGUGCGGGCGCAACAUAGUCCCGUCCCGAUCGCAUGCGAUGGGGCGGAGACAGAGCGUACGCGCUGAGACCCGAAAGAUGGUGAACUAUUCCUGAGCAGGAUGAAGCC
Molecule: ribosomal RNA, 602 nt
Filed under: Globodera sp. OR AMS-2011
Lineage: Eukaryota; Metazoa; Nematoda; Chromadorea; Rhabditida; Heteroderidae
Description: LSU rRNA
Rfam family: Eukaryotic large subunit ribosomal RNA
Source: RNAcentral